GUGGGGAAUUUUGGACAAUGGGCGAAAGCCUGAUCCAGCCAUGCCGCGUGCAGGAUGAAGGCCUUCGGGUUGUAAACUGCUUUUGUACGAAACGAAAAGCCUGGGGCUAAUAUCCCCGGGUCAUGACGGUACCGUAAGAAUAAGCACCGGCUAACUACGUGCCAGCAGCCGCGGUAAUACGUAGGGUGCAAGCGUUAAUCGGAAUUACUGGGCGUAAAGCGUGCGCAGGCGGUUUUGUAAGACAGUGGUGAAAUCCCCGGGCUCAACCUGGGAACUGCCAUUGGGACUGCAAGGCUAGAGUGCGGCAGAGGGGGAUGGAAUUCCGCGUGUAGCAGUGAAAUGCGUAGAUAUGCGGAGGAACACCGAUGGCGAAGGCAAUCCCCUGGGCCUGCACUGACGCUCAUGCACGAAAGCGUGGGGAGCAAACAGGAUUAGAAACCCCAGUAGUCC
Molecule: ribosomal RNA, 450 nt
Filed under: uncultured bacterium
Lineage: Bacteria
Description: partial 16S ribosomal RNA
Rfam family: Bacterial small subunit ribosomal RNA
Source: RNAcentral